AAAUUGAAGAGUUUGAUCAUGGCUCAGAUUGAACGCUGGCGGCAGGCCUAACACAUGCAAGUCGAGCGGAAACGAGUUAUCUGAACCUUCGGGGGACGAUAACGGCGUCGAGCGGCGGACGGGUGAGUAAUGCCUAGGAAAUUGCCCUGAUGUGGGGGAUAACCAUUGGAAACGAUGGCUAAUACCGCAUAAUGCCUACGGGCCAAAGAGGGGGACCUUCGGGCCUCUCGCGUCAGGAUAUGCCUAGGUGGGAUUAGCUAGUUGGUGAGGUAAUGGCUCACCAAGGCGACGAUCCCUAGCUGGUCUGAGAGGAUGAUCAGCCACACUGGAACUGAGACACGGUCCAGACUCCUACGGGAGGCAGCAGUGGGGAAUAUUGCACAAUGGGCGCAAGCCUGAUGCAGCCAUGCCGCGUGUGUGAAGAAGGCCUUCGGGUUGUAAAGCACUUUCAGUCGUGAGGAAGGUAGUGUAGUUAAUAGCUGCAUUACUUGACGUUAGCGACAGAAGAAGCACCGGCUAACUCCGUGCCAGCAGCCGCGGUAAUACGGAGGGUGCGAGCGUUAAUCGGAAUUACUGGGCGUAAAGCGCAUGCAGGUGGUUUGUUAAGUCAGAUGUGAAAGCCCGGGGCUCAACCUCGGAAUAGCAUUUGAAACUGGCAGACUAGAGUACUGUAGAGGGGGGUAGAAUUUCAGGUGUAGCGGUGAAAUGCGUAGAGAUCUGAAGGAAUACCGGUGGCGAAGGCGGCCCCCUGGACAGAUACUGACACUCAGAUGCGAAAGCGUGGGGAGCAAACAGGAUUAGAUACCCUGGUAGUCCACGCCGUAAACGAUGUCUACUUGGAGGUUGUGGCCUUGAGCCGUGGCUUUCGGAGCUAACGCGUUAAGUAGACCGCCUGGGGAGUACGGUCGCAAGAUUAAAACUCAAAUGAAUUGACGGGGGCCCGCACAAGCGGUGGAGCAUGUGGUUUAAUUCGAUGCAACGCGAAGAACCUUACCUACUCUUGACAUCCAGAGAACUUUCCAGAGAUGGAUUGGUGCCUUCGGGAACUCUGAGACAGGUGCUGCAUGGCUGUCGUCAGCUCGUGUUGUGAAAUGUUGGGUUAAGUCCCGCAACGAGCGCAACCCUUAUCCUUGUUUGCCAGCGAGUAAUGUCGGGAACUCCAGGGAGACUGCCGGUGAUAAACCGGAGGAAGGUGGGGACGACGUCAAGUCAUCAUGGCCCUUACGAGUAGGGCUACACACGUGCUACAAUGGCGCAUACAGAGGGCAGCAAGCUAGCGAUAGUGAGCGAAUCCCAAAAAGUGCGUCGUAGUCCGGAUUGGAGUCUGCAACUCGACUCCAUGAAGUCGGAAUCGCUAGUAAUCGUGGAUCAGAAUGCCACGGUGAAUACGUUCCCGGGCCUUGUACACACCGCCCGUCACACCAUGGGAGUGGGCUGCAAAAGAAGUAGGUAGUUUAACCUUCGGGAGGACGCUUACCACUUUGUGGUUCAUGACUGGGGUGAAGUCGUAACAAGGUAGCGCUAGGGGAACCUGGCGCUGGAUCACCUCCUUAAACGAUGAU
Molecule: ribosomal RNA, 1562 nt
Filed under: Vibrio owensii
Lineage: Bacteria; Pseudomonadati; Pseudomonadota; Gammaproteobacteria; Vibrionales; Vibrionaceae
Description: bacterial SSU rRNA
Rfam family: Bacterial small subunit ribosomal RNA
Source: RNAcentral